CGCUCUGGUGGCCUAGUUGUUAGAGUGUCUGCCUAGGAUACGGGAGGUCGCGGGUUCCAACCCCGUGCGAGUCA
Non-coding RNA from Potamilus streckersoni, 74 nucleotides. The record is from the annotation of a GenBank genome assembly. NCBI's taxonomy places the organism in Eukaryota, Metazoa, Mollusca, Bivalvia, Unionida, Unionidae.